This is a long non-coding RNA of Thalassophryne amazonica, 198 nucleotides long. RefSeq lists it as uncharacterized. The transcript has 2 exons. NCBI's taxonomy places the organism in Eukaryota, Metazoa, Chordata, Actinopteri, Batrachoidiformes, Batrachoididae. The record is from RefSeq and is a predicted model, not a curated record.
CUCCAAUGCGCUGUUAGCUUCGGUCGCGUUAGGACGUUAUUUUUGACACGACAACCUGCUUUUAAAGUAGAAUUCCUUCGUGAAGAGGUCUUUCUACAAACAUGCCUGGAGUCGAGCAGCUGAGGUACAUGUUGAAACUACAGCGAACACCUGCUGAUAAAGGAAUGAACACAGACCAGAUAGAAGAAAUGUGUCAUU